RNAcentral lists this ribosomal RNA (233 nucleotides) under uncultured Streptococcus sp. RNAcentral describes it as "partial 16S ribosomal RNA". It matches the Rfam family "Bacterial small subunit ribosomal RNA", at positions 1146 to 1382 of the family's 1533-position model. The record is from RNAcentral. Lineage: Bacteria; Bacillati; Bacillota; Bacilli; Lactobacillales; Streptococcaceae.
GAACUGCCGGUAUAACCGGAGGAAGUGGGAUGACGUCAAAUCAUCAUGCCCCUUAUGACCUGGGCUACACACGUGCUACAAUGGUUGGUACAACGAGUUGCGAGUCGGUGACGGCGAGCUAAUCUCUUAAAGCCAAUCUCAGUUCGGAUUGUAGGCUGCAACUCGCCUACAUGAAGUCGGAAUCGCUAGUAAUCGCGGAUCAGCACGCCGCGGUGAAUACGUUCCCGGGCCUU